This 394-nucleotide ribosomal RNA is filed under the name uncultured bacterium. RNAcentral's name for it is "partial 16S ribosomal RNA". It matches the Rfam family "Bacterial small subunit ribosomal RNA", at positions 523 to 918 of the family's 1533-position model. The record is from RNAcentral.
ACACGUAGGGGGCGAGCGUUGUUCGGAAUCAUUGGGCGUAAAGGGCGUGCAGGCGGUCCUGCAAGUCCGGCGUGAAAGACCCCGGCCCAACCGGGGGGACGCGCUGGAAACUGCAGGGCUUGAGUACAGGAGGGGAUGCCGGAAUUCCAGGUGUAGGGGUGAAAUCUGUAGAUAUCUGGAAGAACACCAAUGGCGAAGGCAGGCAUCUGGCCAUGUACUGACGCUGAGACGCGAAGGUGCGGGGAGCAAACAGGUUUAGAUACCCUGGUAGUCCGCACAGUAAACGAUGUGCACCAGGUGGCGGGGGGUCGACCCCCGGUACCGUAGCUAACGCAUUAAGUGCACCGCCUGGGGAGUAUGCUCGCAAGGGUGAAACUCAAAUGAAUUGACGGGG